Molecule: long non-coding RNA, 581 nt
Filed under: Mytilus galloprovincialis (Mediterranean mussel)
Lineage: Eukaryota; Metazoa; Mollusca; Bivalvia; Mytilida; Mytilidae
Source: RNAcentral
GUUGCAGCACAAUAAAAUAGCAAUAAAUAGACCUAUACUCAAGUUAUUGUUCAUAAACUACAAAACCUAGAUUUUUAGGUUAUUUUCCAACGGUAAUUUUUAAAUGGUUUGGACCAUGACCCCCUAAAAUUUGCACCUGGAAGUUUGUGGUAUAAGUUCAUAGAUGUCUAUACUCUUGGCUCUUAUUAACAAAACCGUUACACUGGCAAGCGACUGAAUCAAUCCCAAAUCACUCAUUUCGUAGAUCCAUAUAUACACGUAUACUAAAGUUAUUGUCUGCAAACUAAUUUAUUUUCUAUGAACUGGUAAAAACUUACCUUUUUUGGGCUACUAAUAACAAAACUGCUACAAUACCCCCCAAAAUCAAUCACAACAAUUUUAUAGUGGACUGGAACCUUGAGCUUGAAUGUUAUAGAAAUCCAUACACUUAUACAAGUUAUUGUCUGUGAACAAAAAUAUCUUCAAACAAAACACAGACAACAUAACAUUAUAUUGACGUAUACAAAUAGCACUAACACAUACAUUCUUGUUUUGAGGCAAUUUAUAGAACUGCAUUCACUAUAAAUAUAACACAAUAAUUG